RNAcentral lists this ribosomal RNA (292 nucleotides) under uncultured bacterium. RNAcentral's name for it is "partial 16S ribosomal RNA". It matches the Rfam family "Bacterial small subunit ribosomal RNA", at positions 505 to 796 of the family's 1533-position model. The record is from RNAcentral.
GUGUCAGCAGCCGCGGUAAUACGUAGGGGGCAAGCGUUGUCCGGAUUUAUUGGGCGUAAAGCGCGUGUAGGCGGCCACGCAGGUCCGCUGUGAAAACUCGAGGCUCAACCUCGAGCUGUCGGUGGAAACCGCGUGGCUAGAGUCCGGAAGAGGGGACUGGAAUUCCCGGUGUAGCGGUGGAAUGCGCAGAUAUCGGGAGGAACACCCGUGGCGAAGGCGGGUCCCUGGGACGGUACUGACGCUGAGACGCGAAAGCGUGGGGAGCGAACAGGAUUAGAUACCCUGGUAGUCC